Molecule: long non-coding RNA, 192 nt
Organism: Empidonax traillii (willow flycatcher)
Lineage: Eukaryota; Metazoa; Chordata; Aves; Passeriformes; Tyrannidae
Exons: 3
Source: RefSeq, a predicted model, not a curated record
AGCCCGACCACCAGCUCGGCCCGGGGGGGGCCGGAGAAGUCGCCGCCUCGCUCCGCAAGGGAGGAAGAGAAGCAGAAGAAAGUUCAGGGGCUGGAAAAGCAACGAGGUUCUCCCUCCAAAACAAAGAGUGAUUCAAGGGUUUCUGUGAUCUCCAGGAGAUCCCAGGCCCAGGAGGAGGAGGAGGAGGAGGAG